This 1200-nucleotide unclassified non-coding RNA is filed under the name Hevea brasiliensis (rubber tree). Lineage: Eukaryota; Viridiplantae; Streptophyta; Magnoliopsida; Malpighiales; Euphorbiaceae. The record is from RNAcentral.
AAAGUCUCUGAGAUACGUUGGAAGGUAUAUAUCAUGAUAACAACUACAAUAUUUCUAGUUUUUAAAUUGUUCAUUUGGAAUUUAAUUAUUGCAAUUAAAUGUUAGUUGGUCUGUUCUGUCAUCACUGAUUGAUAUUCCUGAUUAUUGAAUGGAAAUGGACAGUCUAUUAUCCACUGAUAGGGAUAAUAUAGGAGGUUAAACAGUCUCUACCUCCUGGCUUUCUUCACAGGAUUCUGCUUUCGAAGCUUUCUGUGCUAUGGCACAUGACAUGAAAUUUGGUCUGAUAAUAUUUGCCUUCAACUUGUCAUCUGUUUGGUUGCCUGUUUUCUUCUCUCUGAUUCAGGGUCUUAAGUUGAUGUAUAAAUUCUCCUUUCCCUUCUUUUCCUUUUAUUUUUCUUGAGAAAAUCUGAAACAUCAUCGACAGUGUGUUAGUUAUUUCUCUCUAGUCUUAAUCGUUCUCGAACUUGAACGAGUUUCUCUGAUUACUUUUCACUCUAAUAAAUUUUAUGUUGCACAACAGAACGCUAUAUUUGUAGCAGAAUCCAUUUUUAAAGCAAAACGUGUUGUCACUUUCAUAAAAAUUGUCCGAAACAAGUUAGUCCAUUCAACUUGUCUUUGUUGAGUGAGAAAAUUUCAAAAGUCCAUUCCACUACCUUUCAAACCUUGCAAUCAAAAGGUAUCAAGUUGAAAUACUGAGGGAUUUCAUAGCCAUUCUGCUUAGUUGACUGGUGCUGCUUCUGAUACAUCUGAACCAAUUAUUUAUUAAGUCUAGGACACCUGACCUCUUAUAUCUAGUAUUUGGAUAUUUUGGUAAUUUAACCUACUAAAUUGGUAGUCCAUAUCUAAUCACAAUCAGUUUUGAGCUAUUUAAAUAGCACAAAAGCUAUUUUUUGCAGGAGUCCUUAUGGUUAUCCAUUUGUUUUCUUAAUCACUGCAACUAUUUCCAUGUUAUCAAAUUUGAAGUUGCCAACAGGGGUAAUGUUGUGCUUAUACUUUGUAUUUACAUGUGAUCUGCAAUUGGUGGGCAUAUCUGCUUAAUGGUUCUUCUUGAAGAGUUGAAUGUCCUACUGUCCUUGUUUUACAGAAUUUGAUACUGACCAUUUUUCUAAAUUAUGAUCUAGCUUUGUUAUGUUCCAUUAAAAUUUCAUAAUUUCUGAUGACAUAUUCUUGGUCAACAGCAUGGUGGCUGAUGUGCAUCGC